This 253-nucleotide ribosomal RNA is filed under the name uncultured bacterium. RNAcentral describes it as "partial 16S ribosomal RNA". It matches the Rfam family "Bacterial small subunit ribosomal RNA", at positions 524 to 776 of the family's 1533-position model. RNAcentral also lists the same sequence under 2 other names. The record is from RNAcentral.
UACGAACUGUGCAAACGUUAUUCGGAAUCACUGGGCUUACAGGGUGCGUAGGCGGCCAGACAAGUAGGGUGUGAAAGCCCCCGGCUUAACCGGGGAAUGGCGCCCUAAACUGUAUGGCUGGAGUGAGAUAGGGGUGUGCGGAACUUCCGGUGGAGCGGUGAAAUGUGUUGAUAUCGGAAGGAACGCCGGUGGCGAAAGCGGCACACUGGAUCUCAACUGACGCUGAGGCACGAAAGCCAGGGGAGCGAACGGG